RNAcentral lists this ribosomal RNA (416 nucleotides) under Onchocerca gutturosa. RNAcentral's name for it is "partial 12S ribosomal RNA". Lineage: Eukaryota; Metazoa; Nematoda; Chromadorea; Rhabditida; Onchocercidae. The record is from RNAcentral.
GUUGUGAUGUCAUAAUUUUUAGUUUGUUUUUAUGUUAUUUUUUGUAAAAUGUUUUAGGUUUUUUUUUGUUUUGUUGUGAUAUCAAAAAUUUGUUUUUUGAACUGGAUUAGUACCCAGGUAAUCAAAGUUUAAUAAUUCGGGAGUAAAGUUUUGUUUAAACCGAAAAAAUAUUGACUGACUUUAGAUUUUUCUUUGGAAUAUGUGAUUUGCUGGAGAGCCCUCUUUCUUGGUGAGUUUUAUUGGCACAUGUAUGAUUGUUUAGUUUUUAUUUUAUUUUGUAAUGCUUUUUUGUUUUGGCAUUUAAAACAGAUAUAUAUUUGGCUUAUGAGUUCAUGUUUCAUGUGUUACUAUUAUGAAUUUUUUUUGGAUAAUUUUUUUAUUUUUUUUUGAAAUUGGAAAAGAAAGUAAUUUUUUCU